CUGAGAUUUGAGACUGUUGGAGGAAGCAAAACUGUGUGUCUUUCAUUAACGGAGGCAGAGAGGUUAAUGGAGACUUCUGCAUUACUCAGAGCCAGGUUUCUUAUGAGCCCUUAGAUGAAGCUCUAUUAUUCUCAUCUACUCUGCAGAGGAGAAAUGAAAAUAUACCCCCCAAACUUGGGUAAACAGAUGGGUGUUUAGGAGGCACUGUCCAGUCCCAGGGUUCAGCCAUGAACAAGACAGGAAUGUCGUCGGUCUCCUCUUGUUACUCACAUUCUAAAGGCGGAAAUGGUGCAAUGAAGCACAUAAAAGACGCUAUUUUUGGAAUGCUAUGGACCAAACAUAACUGUGGCUAAAAAUAAUACUUUUGCCGAAUCUAUCUGCAAUAGAAGGAGAGAUUUAGGGCACAGAGUAUAUGAACGACCAAAUAACAUUAGGAUGAUGCUGUUUCAGACCUAGAACGCCAACAAACGGUUGCCAUUGGGAGGCCCCUGGAGCGCUGUGCUUCUCCUCGAGAUUAUCGCAGCGUGAGGUCUAUUCAGAAUUUGUGGUCACUUCAGUUUUUUUCUCCCGUCACAGAUGUGUGGAUAUAUAUGCCUACAUUCUGGUGUUUAUCAUCACCUCGACACUGUCUAUUAACAGGCUGUGGAGAAAAAUAUCCAUCUGGAUGAGACGGACAGGAUCGCGGGACAGGAGGACUCUCAAUUUCACGCUGGAGCGCUGGGCUUUGCAGUUGGCCUCAGCGGGCGAUCGUUUCCUUGCUUAGUUAAAACAUAAAUCAGACUUCUGAACUAAUUUUAUUAUUUGCUCAUGGGAUUUUUAUUCGCAUUGAAAUAUAUUUUAAGAACAACAUGAAGUAAUUUCAAAUAUCUAUACACAACUUUUAUCAGCAUCUUUAUUCAGCUCAUUGAUUAGAUUUUUCUUGGUUACAAUUUUAUCAGAUCAAACAUUUGACACAUUUAAAUGCACUCAACUUCUUUUUGAGGAAGAUUAGCCCUGAGCCAACUACUGCCAGUCCUCCUCUUUUUGCUGAGGAAGACUGGCCCUGAGCUAACAUCCAUGCCCAUCUUCCUCUACUUUAUAUGUGGGAUGCCUGCCACAGCAUGGCGUGCCAAGCGGUGCCACAUCUGCAUCCGGG
RNAcentral lists this long non-coding RNA (1135 nucleotides) under Equus caballus (horse). Its description in RNAcentral is "lncRNA (ENSECAG00000046397.1)". Lineage: Eukaryota; Metazoa; Chordata; Mammalia; Perissodactyla; Equidae. The record is from RNAcentral.